UGCCGGCGCCCGGCUUGGCCGCGCCGCUCUCCUCGCCGCCGGCCCACUCCUCGUCCUGCAGCGGCGGCCGUCCGUCCAGCGAGAUGUUGACUGAGGAUGCAGCCCCUGAUUUAAAUGCACACCGGAGAGUGCGUCAGAACCCAGGCUCGAACAUCAAACGUGUGGCCAGACUAAUUGACACAUCUCCAUUUGAUGGUGCUGUCACUUUUCAUCUCUUUCUUAGCAAAGGCCAACAUCAAUUUUUACUUCGGCCCAGAAACGUGCUCCGUUUUCCAUGAAGACCAAGACGCUGCCCCCGUUCCUCCUUUUCCUGGAUCGGAGUCAGGACACCUGGGUCUCAUCCAUGUUCUGCAGUGAAUUUCCCUGUUUAAAGGUAGCAGCCCCGUGCUCGUGGCUCAUCUGACUGCAGGGUGAUGGCUGGUGAAUACAGACAAGAUGCAAGGACCUGGAUUCACUAUCAAAUAAUUGGGUGUUAUCUGGUCAGUCUGAAUGGAGGGAAUCUGUCUGUGGACUGGGCAACAGUGGUGGCCUCACUGCGAAAUGAGUUUGAUUGCCGGAACUACAGCAGGAUGCAGUUGUUGUCCUCUGGGAUUCCAUGAAAAUUUGACCUGAUGUGCUGCCUGGCUCUAAAGUUUGCCUGUUGUCUGUAUUGCAUUUGCGGUAUUCGGUUGCAGGGCACCACUACGUACCUGGGUGAACCAAGAUUGUAAGGGUCGUGCAGGGUAUGUGGGGUGGGGUGUAUGGCCAGGCCACUCAAGGUGGCUGUUCUCUUGCUCUUCGUACAUCCCCUGCUCGACCAGUGCCUGCUUCACCUACACUCUGCUCACACGAACGUGCUUGGCCUCUGCCCCAGCUAGCGAUUGUUCUAGUCUUUAGGCCAGAACGGCUCCAGCUGCUAAUUUAUUAAAGGGAAACAUCUGCCCUGGAGAUGGUUGUUACCCUGAGGGGCUGGGAGGGACCUGCCCCAGCUGCUAGUUUCCCUGGUAACUGAUGAGCCAACCUGCGGUCAUUUCCCCCUUUAAAUGGCAGCCUCCUUCUCCCCUGACUAGCAAAGAUUGUUGCCAUGGCCUGCCUGUUGUCUGUCCUACACGGUAGGGUGACCCCUUGUUUCGGGCGUCCAACAAAUCGUCUCUGUCCCUGCCUUGGGGCUCUUUCUUCAGUCUCGAGGCUGGGCAACUACAAGGCUUGCAGGCCUGCGGGGUGCAGCCCAAAAUGGUCUAAGGUUGGUCUGAGUUUCAUCUCUUAUUAGUUCCUGCCAACCUUUGGAAAUGUUAAAGAACACUGAAAGGGUCCAGAGUCAGCAUGAAUGAAUGAUUAUCUGAGUGAAUAAAUAGAAGGAUCAGUACAAAAGAAAACCUCUUGGACAAACCUUCAACUGGAUAAUGGGCCUCCCUGAAUUUGAGUGGAGAGUAACAUACACGAGGGAAAUGCCUUAGAAAGAGUACUAGAGGCCAACUGUUACUGCCCUAUAAUCUGGCCUAUGAUUUCAUAAACUGGUUUGUUGGGCAAAUGUCCACUAUGUAACUGUUGCUGGAUUCUUUAAUGUGUGAAAGUUCACUUCAGAAUUAGAGAUGAAUGUACUCCUAUUUAAUAGUUUUACAAUUAUAAAUGAUGUGUAAAACAAGGGUCUCUUCCCAUUUCCAGUGCGAGACCCCCUCCAAUUGAUCGUUAUGUCCCUUGUUACCACUGAAUUGGUAAUCAGCUCACUGAGGAGAAACUGUCAUAUUCAUCUUUGUAUCCUCCCUCAGCUGCCACAGUUCUGGUAACAAUCAUUCAAUUGCUUAAAUUUCUUUCCGAUUCCUACUGCCACCUUCUUGGCCCAAAUGUUCUUCAUGCUUGGAAUAUUACUAAAUUUCUUUAUUGCACACCUGAUUCUAUGCUUGACUACCCCCUGCCCACCACCCCCCAAAACCCUCAUUUUAUGUAUUAUAUAUUGCUGCCUGAUGAUUAUAUAUAAAUUAAUACGUUACUACCCAACUCAGUAUUUUCAG
Molecule: long non-coding RNA, 1991 nt
Organism: Balaenoptera ricei (Rice's whale)
Lineage: Eukaryota; Metazoa; Chordata; Mammalia; Artiodactyla; Balaenopteridae
Exons: 5
Source: RefSeq, a predicted model, not a curated record